AGUCGCCUACGGGAGGCAGCAGUGAGGAAUAUUGGUCAAUGGCCGAGAGGCUGAACCAGCCAAGUCGCGUGGGGGAUGACGGCCCUACAGGUUGUAAACCUCUUUUGUCGGGGAGCAAAGAGAGUCACGUGUGGCUCAUUGAGAGUACCCGAAGAAAAAGCAUCGGCUAACUCCGUGCCAGCAGCCGCGGUAAUACGGAGGAUGCGAGCGUUAUCCGGAUUUAUUGGGUUUAAAGGGUGCGCAGGCGGAGGUGCAAGUCAGUGGUCAAAUUGCGGGGCUCAACCCCGUACUGCCGUUGAAACUGC
RNAcentral lists this ribosomal RNA (305 nucleotides) under uncultured bacterium. RNAcentral describes it as "bacterial SSU rRNA". It matches the Rfam family "Bacterial small subunit ribosomal RNA", at positions 333 to 636 of the family's 1533-position model. The record is from RNAcentral.